This 253-nucleotide ribosomal RNA is filed under the name uncultured bacterium. Its description in RNAcentral is "partial 16S ribosomal RNA". It matches the Rfam family "Bacterial small subunit ribosomal RNA", at positions 524 to 776 of the family's 1533-position model. The record is from RNAcentral.
UACGGAGGGGGCUAGCGUUGUUCGGAAUUACUGGGCGUAAAGCGCACGUAGGCGGCUUGGCAAGUCAGAGGUGAAAGCCCGGGGCUCAACUCCGGAAUAGCCUUUGAAACUGCCGGGCUUGAAUGCGGGAGAGGUGAGUGGAAUUCCGAGUGUAGAGGUGAAAUUCGUAGAUAUUCGGAAGAACACCAGUGGCGAAGGCGACUCACUGGACCGCUAUUGACGCUGAGGUGCGAAAGCGUGGGGAGCAAACAGG